CAUUUGUAAUUUGAGCUGCAAACGACUGGUCCUCAUGUCAUUCUAGCCAACCUCACGCGUCAGCUGCACCCUCAAAUGCUACAUUAACCAACCCACUGCGGAGCGCUUGCGGGAGACACAGACAAUGUUUUACUAACUGUUUAAACUUGUCGCCUGAGAACCUGGGCAACGAGACAGGAGCAGCAGCAGUGUAGAUGUACCCGAAGUCUGCCGCAGGUCACAGAGCUCAACUCUGCACAAGUCUCCCUGGAGUCUGCUCGUCUUCUCCCUUCCCUGGCUACAGGAAACUACUUGGGGUAUUUUUUCCUCUCAGACUUUUGCAUGCAUUAUUGUCUGAAGAUCAGUAUCACUAGCACUGGAUGACAAUCUCAGAAGACAAUGCUACUAUAUAUGACUGCUAUGCUCAAAUGAGGAACUUUUCUCUGGAAAAAGUUGCAUGGAAUACUGAAUAUAGGGUGACCAGACAGCAAAUGUGAAAAAUUGGGACAGGGGGCGGAGGGUAAUAGGAUCCUAUAUAAGAAAAAGACCCCAAAAUCGUGACUGUCCCUAUAAAAACGGGGCAUCUGGUCACCCUAACUGAAUAGCAGACAUUCAAGUCCCUAGAGAAUCACUGAUGGCUUCUGUAGCUGCAAAGUACACUCUGCAGCAUAGUGUCAUAGUAGUAAAAUGUUAAACAAUACUGCUUCCACCAAAUGGCCUUGUACAGUUCAGAUUUAGACAAGGAUUAGAACUAUUUGUACUUGAGAAAUGCCUCCCAGAGAAGUCAAACAAGAAUCUGGUGCUGAUUACUCAAAGCAAAUUUGACUACUCAGUUAACAGUCUCUGCAAUAAGCAGCAGGUGGUUUAAGACUAGUUUUCAACCUGAGGUAAGCAUACCCCUGGGGGUAUGCACAGGUCUUCCAUGGGGUACAUCAUCGUAACUAGAUAUUUACCUAGUUUUAGAACAGGCUACAUAAAAAGCACUAGUGAAGUCAGUACAAACUAAAAUUUCAUACAACGACUUGUUUAUUCUGCUUUAUAUACACUGAAAUUCAAGUACAAUGUUUAUAUUCCGAUUGAUUUAUUUUAUAAUUAUGUGGUCAAAAUGAGAAAGCAAGCAAUUUUUCAGCAACAUGUAUUUUUAUGUCUGAUUUUGUAAGCAAGUAGUUUUUAAGUGAGAUGAAAUUUGGGGUACACAAGAUAAAUCAGACUCCUAAAGGGGUCCAGUAGUCUGGAAAGGUUGAGAGCCACUAGUUUAAGAUAUUUUCUUACUACACUUUUAAAGAUUUAAGUGUAAAACUAUAUCAAAAUGUUGUAAUAUGUACUGGUUUAUUAAAGGAAUUUUCAGAUGCAAA
Molecule: long non-coding RNA, 1334 nt
Organism: Malaclemys terrapin pileata
Lineage: Eukaryota; Metazoa; Chordata; Testudines; Emydidae
Exons: 2
Source: RefSeq, a predicted model, not a curated record